This 465-nucleotide ribosomal RNA is filed under the name uncultured bacterium. RNAcentral's name for it is "partial 16S ribosomal RNA". It matches the Rfam family "Bacterial small subunit ribosomal RNA", at positions 339 to 795 of the family's 1533-position model. The record is from RNAcentral.
CUACGGGACGCUGCAGUGGGGAAUAUUGGACAAUGGGGGAAACCCUGAUCCAGCAAUGCCGCGUGUGUGAAGAAGGCCUGCUGGUUGUAAAGCACUUUCGGUUGGGAGGACUGCUUCUAGCACUAAUAUUGUUGGAAGUUGACGUUACCUUCAGAAGAAGCACCGGCUAACUCCGUGCCAGCAGCCGCGGUAAUACGGAGGGUGCAAGCGUUAAUCGGAAUUACUGGGCGUAAAGCGCGCGUAGGCGGCUAGAUCAGUCGGGUGUGAAAGCCCCGGGCUUAACCUGGGAACUGCAUCCGAUACUGUCUAGCUUGAGUACAGGAGAGGAGAGUGGAAUUCCACAUGUAGCGGUGAAAUGCGUAGAUAUGUGGAGGAACACCAAUGGCGAAGGCAGCUCUCUGGCCUGAUACUGACGCUGAGGUGCGAAAGCGUGGGGAGCAAGCAGGAUUAGAUACCCUUGUAGUC